CCGGGAUCGGCGGAGGAGGAAAAGGCGGUGUGGCUGACAGGGGAGUGUGAUGGCGGCGGCGCCCUAUGGACGCGUGGGUGGAGUGCCCCCACCCCCACCCCGGGUGGAGAGAAACUGCAUUAAGUAGAAGGAAGGUACUGUCCAUAUAAGAAAUGUUCAAACCUGUAGAAAAUUUUUAUGAGUUUAUUUGAGCCAAACUGGUAACAAAAAUAUCAAGGAAUUGAGAAAAUGUUCCGGGAAAUGGCAGUUCUGCCACUUAAUUUAAACCUCAGAAUCAAAAGAGAAGCUGAGAAGCAGAUCAGGGGGCUACAUGAAAUCCAUUGGUGACAGGUUGGGGAGGUGGGAGAAGGCAAAGCCUCCCUACAUUGGCCCAGAAAAGCAACAAAAUCAGACAAGUGAAACAGUGGCUGCCUCAAGACCAGCUGCAUCGACUAAUGACCCCUGCUGGUGCCGACCAAUCAGUGGAGACCACAGCCCUGAAAAAGCACCCUGGAAAACUGACGAACAUUCUAUUGAGACCUACCCUAAGAUUUCCACGUGCAAAAGAGAGGUAACGGCAGGGGAGCAGCCCAUGCUACUCCCUUUCCCUCUUCUUCCCUCUACGGUCCACUUGCAACCAGGGGAGCAAUAAGCAGUGACAUGCUAAUCCCCUGAACCUAUCUCAACGGUCCCCUUUUCUCUGACUUCUCAGGGAGCCUAAGCAGCCCAGCCUAGGCUCUCCUGUUACUUCUUCUAUAUCCUUUCUUGUUUUACUGUCCUAAGUAUGUUUUUGCUGUGGCCAAUAAAUUCUUAUUUACCUUGCUAUACUUUGUCUCUUGAUUGAAAUCUUUCCUUCAAGAAGACAAAAACCAAGACCUCAUCAUCUUGCCGAGAUCAAGUGGUCAGUGGCCAGACCGUAUGCAACAAAGACCUCUGACUGAAACUUUCACAGUAACCAACCUGGAAAGCCAAACCACAACCUCUGUAGUAAUGGGCCCAGAACGAUCAGGAUGGUCAGGACUUCAUGGUUAAUGUCUGCCGGCCUCUCCCCAAUCCCAGCAACUCCCCUUCCUCUCUUCCAACUCAGGACCAACCAGAGAAAGCCAAACAUGCUCCCCAACCAACCACAGAAAUGCCCCUCUUCUAGUCUCAGGCCCUUCAGUGUCGUAGGCCAGUGGUCGGCAGACUGAGGCUCGCAAGCCACAUGCGGCUCUUUGGCCCCUUGUGUGUGGCUCUUCCACAAAAUAUCACGUGCAGGCGUGCAUGUACAGUGUGAUUGAAACUUCAUGGCCG
Molecule: long non-coding RNA, 1272 nt
Organism: Pipistrellus kuhlii (Kuhl's pipistrelle)
Lineage: Eukaryota; Metazoa; Chordata; Mammalia; Chiroptera; Vespertilionidae
Exons: 3
Source: RefSeq, a predicted model, not a curated record